RNAcentral lists this ribosomal RNA (520 nucleotides) under uncultured Glomus. Its description in RNAcentral is "SSU rRNA". It matches the Rfam family "Eukaryotic small subunit ribosomal RNA", at positions 569 to 1090 of the family's 1831-position model. Lineage: Eukaryota; Fungi; Glomeromycota; Glomeromycetes; Glomerales; Glomeraceae. The record is from RNAcentral.
AGCAGCCGCGGUAAUUCCAGCUCCAAUAGCGUAUAUUAAAGUUGUUGCAGUUAAAAAGCUCGUAGUUGAAUUUCGGGAUCAAUAUUUCGGUCAUGCCGUUGGUAUGCACUGUUAUCAUUGAUUUCUCACCUUCUAAAGAACCGUAAUGCCAUUAAUUUGGUGUUACGGGGAAUUAGGACUGUUACCUUGAAAAAAUUAGAGUGUUUAAAGCAGGCUCACGCUUGAAUACAUUAGCAUGGAAUAAUGAAAUAGGACAUCCGAUUCUAUUUUGUUGGUUUCUAGGAUCGAUGUAAUGAUUAAUAGGGAUAGUUGGGGGCAUUAGUAUUCAAUUGUCAGAGGUGAAAUUCUUGGAUUUAUUGAAGACUAACUACUGCGAAAGCAUUUGCCAAGGAUGUUUUCAUUAAUCAAGAACGAAAGUUAGGGGAUCGAAGACGAUCAGAUACCGUCGUAGUCUUAACCAUAAACUAUGCCGACUAGGGAUCGGAUGAUGUUAAUUUUUAAUGACUCAUUCGGCGCCUUA